RNAcentral lists this ribosomal RNA (251 nucleotides) under uncultured prokaryote. Its description in RNAcentral is "partial 16S rRNA". It matches the Rfam family "Bacterial small subunit ribosomal RNA", at positions 525 to 775 of the family's 1533-position model. The record is from RNAcentral.
ACGUAGGUGGCAAGCGUUGUCCGGAUUUAUUGGGCGUAAAGCGAGCGCAGGCGGUUUCUUAAGUCUGAUGUGAAAGCCUUCGGCUCAACCGAAGAAGUGCAUUGGAAACUGGGUAACUUGAGUGCAGAAGAGGACAGUGGAACUCCAUGUGUAGCGGUGAAAUGCGUAGAUAUAAGGAAUAACACCAAUGGCGAAGGCAACUGUCUUAUCUGUAACUGACGCUGAGGCUCGAAAGCGUGGGUAUCAAACAG